Molecule: ribosomal RNA, 903 nt
Filed under: Triticum aestivum (bread wheat)
Lineage: Eukaryota; Viridiplantae; Streptophyta; Magnoliopsida; Poales; Poaceae
Description: partial small subunit ribosomal RNA
Source: RNAcentral
AUGGCCGAAUGCUUCAAUAGGGUGAUCAAAGGUGCACGUGGAUUACCCGUGACGGCAAUAGUUCAAUACACAUUUGACAAGAUGAAUGCGUACUUUGUAAAGUACUCGAUGCAAAUGGAUGCACAGAUAACGGGUGAGAACCCGCGCAAGUACAAGUACAAGUUCCCACCCAAGGUUGAUGAAUGGUUGGUAUUUCAAUCACGGAAGGCGGACUCAGAAGAAGCUAUAUAAUACGACAACGAAGAGAAGUACGAAGUGAAAGAGCCAGGAGGAACCACAAACGAUGGCCGCCAACAUGGAGGUCGGGCUUUCAAGGUGUCGUUAACACAAUGUGAUUGCUCUUGCGGGAGGCCAUUGUUGCUUCAUCUCCCAUGCUCACACUUGUAUACCGCCGGUCGCGUUAGGAAUGUGGACAUCAAUCACCCACGCACCAUGAGGGAGUCGGAGUUCUCAAUCAUGACGGUCAAGAAAACAUGGGCUCCCCGCUUUCACCCAUAUCUUGACCAAUCACAAUGGCCGGAGUACCAUGGUGUUCAACUAUGGCCGGAUCCGGAGUUGAAGGUUGUUAAACGGGGUAGACGUAAGACAAAGCGUCUUAGAGGCAACAUGGACGGAUGGGGCCAUGGUGGCCGCCGCGAAGCGGGCAAUGACCAAUUCCAAGAGCCUCGUGAGAGCUCCCGUUGUGGGGAGUGCAAAGGUCAUGGCCGCAAUAAAAAAAAUGUACGAAACCAAGGAAAAGGUCCAAGAAAAAUGAUGCAAGCACAAGCCAACAAGGAGCUACAGAAGGAAGCCAACCAAGUGGUAGCCAACAAGUGCCAAGCCAACCAAGUGGUAGCCAACAAGUGCCAAGCCAACCAAGUGUUAGCCAAAGAGGAUCUAGGCAACAAAGAGGUCGACAACUAG